AGCGUACGCUGGCGGCAGGCUUAACACAUGCAAGUCGAGCGGGUCCUUCGGGGUCAGCGGCGGACGGGUGAGUAACGCGUGGGAACGUGCCUUCUGGUUCGGAAUAACCCUGGGAAACUAGGGCUAAUACCGGAUACGCCCUUUUGGGGGAAGUUUUACUGCCGGAAGAUCGGCCCGCGUCUGAUUAGCUAGUUGGUGGGGUAACGGCCUACCAAGGCGACGAUCAGUAGCUGGGCGGAUAGGAUGAUCAGCCACACUGGGACUGAGACACGGCCCAGACUCCUACGGGAGGCAGCAGUGGGGAAUAUUGGACAAUGGGCGCAAGCCUGAUCCAGCCAUGCCGCGUGAGUGAUGAAGGCCUUAGGGUUGUAAAGCUCUUUUAUCCGGGACGAUAAUGACGGUACCGGAGGAAUAAGCCCCGGCUAACUUCGUGCCAGCCGCCGCCGUAA
Molecule: ribosomal RNA, 449 nt
Filed under: uncultured bacterium
Lineage: Bacteria
Description: partial 16S ribosomal RNA
Rfam family: Bacterial small subunit ribosomal RNA
Source: RNAcentral